This 252-nucleotide ribosomal RNA is filed under the name uncultured bacterium. RNAcentral describes it as "partial 16S ribosomal RNA". It matches the Rfam family "Bacterial small subunit ribosomal RNA", at positions 524 to 776 of the family's 1533-position model. The record is from RNAcentral.
UACGUAGGUCCCGAGCGUUGUCCGGAUUUAUUGGGCGUAAAGCGAGCGCAGGUAGUUUAUUAAGUCUGGUGUAAAAGGCAGUGGCUCAACCAUUGUAUGCAUUGGAAACUGGUAGACUUGAGUGCAGGAGAGGAGAGUGGAAUUCCAUGUGUAGCGGUGAAAUGCGUAGAUAUAUGGAGGAACACCGGUGGCGAAAGCGGCUCUCUGGCCUAUAACUGACACUGAGGCUCGAAAGCGUGGGGAGCAAACAGG